CAUAUCGAUACUUUCGUUUCAUGUGCUCCAUUGUAAAGCGUUGAAAGGAAGAAAACACACACAUAUUCCAUUCCAUAUUCUAAACAUGAUGGCACCGCCUCAAAGUACCGCUGGUAUGGGUGCAGACGAGUCGGCCCUCGGACACGCACUACGAGGGCGGGAACUUUGAACUACGCCUACACUUUUCCCAGACGUACCCGUCUCAACCACCGUUUUUACUGUUCCGUACAAGGGUCUACCAUUGCAAUAUACACCACGGGGCUAUCUGGGCUGGGCUCAAAUUGGUCGCCUGCCCUGACCGUGGAGAAGCUACUUUUGUCCAUCCGAUCGCUGCUCUCGAAGCCCAAUCCGGAGCCCAUUGCGCCGCUGCUGAAAUGCUCAAGGACCGCGAGCAGCGCGACCGCUUGGCUCGCGAGUAGACUCAAGGUCAGAAUAAUCCUAAACAUCUCAUCCACGGAUACACAUUUUCCAAAUUCUUUGAUCACCUUUGUUAGCAUCUGCCACUAACCCACACAUGAACAUGAGCUACAUGGUAACAUUAUAUACAAUUCAUUUUUGACUGAAAUAAAGGCUGUGAAAAUGUUUCGUA
Molecule: small RNA, 589 nt
Filed under: Drosophila pseudoobscura pseudoobscura
Lineage: Eukaryota; Metazoa; Arthropoda; Insecta; Diptera; Drosophilidae
Description: GA32890
Source: RNAcentral